This 590-nucleotide ribosomal RNA is filed under the name uncultured bacterium. Its description in RNAcentral is "partial 16S ribosomal RNA". It matches the Rfam family "Bacterial small subunit ribosomal RNA", at positions 355 to 1376 of the family's 1533-position model. The record is from RNAcentral.
UGGGGAAUAUUGGACAAUGGGCGCAAGCCUGAUCCAGCAAUGCCGCGUGUGUGAAGAAGGCCUUCGGGUUGUAAAGCACUUUUAUCAGGAGCGAAACGCUGUCGGCUAAUACCCGGCGGAACUGACGGUACCUGAGGAAUAAGCACCGGCUAACUUCGUGCCAGCAGCCGCGGUAAUACGAAGGGUGCAAGCGUUAAUCGGAAUUACUGGGCGUAAAGCGUGCGUAGGCGGUUUCUUAAGUCUGCUGUGAAAUCCCCGGGCUCAACCUGGGAAUGGCAGUGGAUACUGGGAGGCUAGAGUGUGUCAGAGGGUGGUGGAAUUCCCGGUGUAGCGGUGAAAUGCGUAGAGAUCGGGAGGAACAUCAGUGGCGAAGGCGGCCACCUGGGACAACACUGACGCUGAGGCACGAAAGCGUGGGGAGCAAACAGGAUUAGGAUACCCUGGUAGUCCACGCCCUAAAGCGAUGCGAACUGGAUGUUGGUCUCAACUCGGAGAUCAGUGUCGAAGCUAACGCGUUAAGUUCGCCGCCUGGGGAGUACGGUCGCAAGACUGAAACUCAAAUGAAUUGACGGGGUCAUAGCUGUUUCCUG